GUCAUGUAUUUUUUUGACUGCAAUAUUAAAUGCUUUCACGUCACAUGCAAAAUUACACAGGAAUGUGGCUGACUUUUUAUUUGUAGUUUACAUGAGUGUCCUUGCACUUUUAUAGGAGUUAAGGCAGAUGUGGAGGCACAACGGGUGACACCAGACACACCCAAGCACAUUAUGUUCGGACAUUCAAUCAUGACAUGAUCCAGGUGGAUGCUGUCCAUUGAGAAAAGAGUUUGUUCAGCGGUUUCUGGAUAGAAUUAUUUCCAAAGAUGGGAAAAAGUGCACAUCCAGACAAGGAGCAAGCAAAAAGACAAGGAACUUGGUGCAGAGAAAAGCUGUGGCCAUUAACCCCCAUGUGAACAGCUUCAUGCAGUCCCUGAUUGAGUUCGAAUGGACGACUUCAAAGUAAAGGCCACUGUGGUCUGUCUGCCACAGUUUAAUGCAUUUAUUUUUAGUGUUAAAUGAAAUUCAAGUAGAAUAUUUAAAACUAUGGGCCAGUGUUGUUUUUACCACAGUGAAAUGUUACCUUUUAGUCGAUGAUGGACUUUAAACUGAAAACUUCAAACUAUGGACCAGUGUUCUAUUUGCCAGAGUUAAAUAUGUUACAGCAGGGGUCUCCAAACUUGUUUAUACUUGUUGAUUUUAUUUUAUGUUACUUGAUUAUAUGUUUAUUAUUGUUUAAAAUCUUGUUUUAAAUAUGUUUGUUUCAAUUAAAUGUUUUUUUAAAUAAAAUUUUGAUACAAACAUUGCUUGGAUUGCCUUUUAAUUCAUUAUGUUUUAAUUUAGCAUUUUUACCAUAUUAAUAACUAUAGAUUUAAACCUAAAUCUCUAGCUAUUUUAUAUAAUAUUAUUGUAUUAAUUGUAAUAAGUAAUAAAUAGUAUUUAUGGGUCAAUAUAGACAUUACAGUAAAUUACUGUAAAAAUAGACUACUGUAAUAAAAUAUUGUAAAAUUACAGUACAGUACUGCUUUGUAACUAUACAGUACUAGUUUGUGUACUGUAAAUGGUAUUACAGUACAGUACUGUAAAACCAAAAUACAGUAACUUACUGGCAACCGUGCUGCCAGUACCGUACUGUAAAAAUACAGGGAAAUCGUUAAC
Paramisgurnus dabryanus is the source of this 1098-nucleotide long non-coding RNA. RefSeq lists it as uncharacterized. NCBI's taxonomy places the organism in Eukaryota, Metazoa, Chordata, Actinopteri, Cypriniformes, Cobitidae. The record is from RefSeq and is a predicted model, not a curated record.